GCCCCCACCUGCUGGCCAGGGAAAAGGGGUCAUCAGGGCCAAGGCCCCUCCAUAAGGCCUCCUGUGAUUCCUCGGGCUGGCUGCUGCCACCGUCCUGCCCUGGCCAUCACCCCACAACCUUUCUUCAUCUCUCUCUCCUCCUCCAACUCACCCCCCACCCCCGACAUCUGAUGCGCUUUCCCUGCCAGGCUUUGAGACAUUCCUUUGCCUAGUUUCCUUAGGGGAGCCUGGAAAGCACACCUGUCCCCCAGGGCAAGGGCAUGACGAACCUGUAAGUCGCUGAGCCGCCCUGCAGAGGGCGCCAACUGCGCGGGUGUNNNNGGGUUUCCAGAGACAGGGAGGCUUUAGGAUGAGGGUCUAAAAAAAUCCACCGCGAUCCACCGUGAUACACUGGGAUCACGAUACAUUGGAAAGUCAAGAUCACAGGGAAGAAAUGUGGAGCUUGGCAACCUAUUGCCAAAGCAGCAAGUUCCUCCUCCUCCUUCAAAUACAGGUGACCAGAAUCAGGGCAGCAGCUAGCCGGGCCCCUUUUUGCCAUUUCUACCCUGUCUCUCCUGUUUCCUCCAGCAGUGGCUUGGAAGCCAAGCCUGGGGUGAGGGGGGCAGCAAUGGCUUUAAUUAGUGAACGAUUCUAUUACCUCCUGCACCCCAUUCCUGGGCCUCUCCAUUUUGGUUUCCUAACAUCUGGGCAUUGUCCUUCCUUGUCUUAUUUGCCUGCAGCUUAGAUCCGAGACCACAUACAUAGUUUAAUAGCUUCUUUCUUAGCGGUUUUCCUAAUUAUAAUGAAAGUGAAAGUGGAGUUCUUCAGUGGUGUCUGACUCUUUGCCAUCCCGUGGACGGUAGCCCGCCAGGCUCCUCUGUCCACGGGAUUCUCCAGGCAAGAAUACUNNNNNNNNNNNNNNNNNNNNNNNNNNNNNGAUCUUCCCAACCCAGGGAUCGAGCCCAGGUCUCCUGCAUUGCAGGCAGACUGUUUAUCCUCUGAGCCACCAGGGAAGCCCUAAGUUAUAAGACUGUUGCAAAAGGGGAAACAUCUUCUAAGACCCACAAGUCCUGUUUCCCCAAGCCAUCGAUAUAAAUGACUUUUAAUCUUCGAUUACUGAGAGAAUGGCAUUUAAAUUGACAGAGAAUUCCUGCAUCUGGGUCUGAGUNNNNNNNNNNNNNNUAGCCCAAAUGUCCUGAGAGUCCAACAUCUAGAGUCUUGCUUUCCAAAAAAGAGCAGAAUUUGCAGCUUUAACCAAGGCCGUGCAUGGGGUGGCACAACACAUGUUUCCUCCUCCCCAGGCAGGCCCCAUCCCACCACAGGGAAGCGUGUCACUCUGCUCCAUUACUCGGCCUGUUUGUGAAGCUUGGAUAUAAAGAGAUUGUGUUUUAAGGUGUGACCUCCACACACCAGGCUGAUUGCCCAGCCCACU
This 1411-nucleotide long non-coding RNA is filed under the name Capra hircus (goat). RNAcentral describes it as "lncRNA (ENSCHIG00010023777.1)". Lineage: Eukaryota; Metazoa; Chordata; Mammalia; Artiodactyla; Bovidae. The record is from RNAcentral.